AAAAGUGACCUCAACCUCAAUGAGACUUGAACUUGGAAUGUAAAGGAGUGGAACAAAAUGCUGCAAAUUAUUUCUUCUGCAGUUUUAACGAUUCUGCCAAUCUACAAUGAAUAUUGAACAGGCAGGAAGGAUGUCGUUGAUUAGAUUGACCCCCAGUAUUUGACUGCAGGGUUGGACAAAUGCAACAAUGAACUCAUGGACAAAUAAAUAUUACAAGAGUUGAAACUGUAGAAAGAAGAACAUGCAAUAAGAAGGGGCGUGUUUCAUCUGGGCUUGUAAUUAGCCUGAAGCCAACGAAGAAUCUCUUCCAAUCCUUUACCAUUCCAGGCACUUAUUUCAUGGACUGUAAUAUUUUGGGUGGAAUACUGAAUUAUUUCUUCCAAGCGAAGGUAGUUUUCAAAUUCUGGUCUUGACAUUAUAGUAGCCAUGUCUCUAUAAAAAAAGAGAAGUAAAGGUAUUUAAUAUCAA
Long non-coding RNA from Octopus sinensis (East Asian common octopus), 468 nucleotides. RefSeq lists it as uncharacterized. Lineage: Eukaryota; Metazoa; Mollusca; Cephalopoda; Octopoda; Octopodidae. The transcript has 2 exons. The record is from RefSeq and is a predicted model, not a curated record.